AGUGAACGCUGGCGGUAGGCCUAACACAUGCAAGUCGAACGGCAGCACAGUAAGAGCUUGCUCUUACGGGUGGCGAGUGGCGGGCGGGUGAGGAAUACAUCGGAAUCUACUUUUUCGUGGGGGAUAACGUAGGGAAACUUACGCUAAUACCGCAUACGACCUACGGGUGAAAGCAGGGGAUCUUCGGACCUUGCGCGAUUGAAUGAGCUGAUGUCGGAUUAGCUAGUUGGCGGGGUAAAGGCCCACCAAGGCGACGAUCCGUAGCUGGUCUGAGAGGAUGAUCAGCCACACUGGAAGUGAGACACGGUCCAGACUCCUAGGGAAGGCACCAGUGGGGAAGAUUGGACAAUGGGCGCAAGCCUGAUCCAGCCAUACCGCGUGGGUGAAGAAGGGCUUCGGGUUGUAAAGCCCUUUUGUUGGGAAAGAAAAGCAGCAGGUUAAUACCCCGCUGUUCUGACGGUACCCAAAGAAUAAGCACCGGCUAACUUCGUG
RNAcentral lists this ribosomal RNA (492 nucleotides) under uncultured bacterium. Its description in RNAcentral is "partial 16S ribosomal RNA". It matches the Rfam family "Bacterial small subunit ribosomal RNA", at positions 29 to 507 of the family's 1533-position model. The record is from RNAcentral.